RNAcentral lists this transfer RNA (75 nucleotides) under bacterium. RNAcentral describes it as "tRNA-Glu". It matches the Rfam family "tRNA". Rfam says of the family: Transfer RNA (tRNA) molecules are approximately 80 nucleotides in length. Their secondary structure includes four short double-helical elements and three loops (D, anti-codon, and T loops). Further hydrogen bonds mediate the characteristic L-shaped molecular structure. tRNAs have two regions of fundamental functional importance: the anti-codon, which is responsible for specific mRNA codon recognition, and the 3' end, to which the tRNAs corresponding amino acid is attached (by aminoacyl-tRNA synthetases). tRNAs cope with the degeneracy of the genetic code in two manners: having more than one tRNA (with a specific anti-codon) for a particular amino acid; and 'wobble' base-pairing, i.e. permitting non-standard base-pairing at the 3rd anti-codon position. RNAcentral also lists the same sequence under 2 other names. The record is from RNAcentral.
GGCCCCGUAGUCUAGCGGUUAGGACGACACUCUUUCAAGGUGUAGGUACGAGUUCGACUCUCGUCGGGGCUGCCA